Molecule: ribosomal RNA, 301 nt
Filed under: uncultured bacterium
Lineage: Bacteria
Description: partial 16S ribosomal RNA
Rfam family: Bacterial small subunit ribosomal RNA
Source: RNAcentral
CAGCCGCCACGGUAAUACGAAGGGUGCAAGCGUUACUCGGAAUUACUGGGCGUAAAGCGUGCGUAGGUGGUGGUUUAAGUCCGUUGUGAAAGCCCUGGGCUCAACCUGGGAAUUGCAGUGGAUACUGGGUCACUAGAGUGUGGUAGAGGAUAGUGGAAUUUCCGGUGUAGCAGUGAAAUGCGUAGAGAUCGGAAGGAACAUCUGUGGCGAAGGCGACUAUCUGGGCCAACACCGACACUGAGGCACGAAAGCGUGGGGAGCAAACAGGAUUAGAUACCCCAGUAGUCCCUGUCUCUUAUAC